UGGGGAAUAUUGCACAAUGGGCGCAAGCCUGAUGCAGCCAUGCCGCGUGUAUGAAGAAGGCCUUCGGGUUGUAAAGUACUUUCAGUCGGGAGGAAGGUGGUAAGGUUAAUAACCUUAUCAAUUGACGUUACCGACAGAAGAAGCACCGGCUAACUCCGUGCCAGCAGCCGCGGUAAUACGGAGGGUGCAAGCGUUAAUCGGAAUUACUGGGCGUAAAGCGCACGCAGGCGGUUGAUUGAGUCAGAUGUGAAAUCCCCGGGCUUAACCCGGGAAUUGCAUCUGAUACUGGUCAGCUUGAGUCUCGUAGAGGGGGGUAGAAUUCCAGGUGUAGCGAUGAAAUGCGUAGAGAUCUGGAGGAAUACCGGUGGCGAAGGCGGCCCCCUGGACGAAGACUGACGCUCAGGUGCGAAAGCGUGGGGAGCAAACAGG
RNAcentral lists this ribosomal RNA (429 nucleotides) under Chloroflexota bacterium. RNAcentral's name for it is "Chloroflexi bacterium partial 16S ribosomal RNA". It matches the Rfam family "Bacterial small subunit ribosomal RNA", at positions 355 to 776 of the family's 1533-position model. The record is from RNAcentral. Lineage: Bacteria; Bacillati; Chloroflexota.